Molecule: ribosomal RNA, 495 nt
Filed under: uncultured bacterium
Lineage: Bacteria
Description: partial 16S ribosomal RNA
Rfam family: Bacterial small subunit ribosomal RNA
Source: RNAcentral
GAUGAACGCUGGCGGCGUGCCUAAUACAUGCAAGUCGAGCGAACAGAUGAGGAGCUUGCUCCUCUGACGUUAGCGGCGGACGGGUGAGUAACACGUGGAUAACCUACCUAUAAGACUGGGAUAACUUCGGGAAACCGGAGCUAAUACCGGAUAAUAUAUUGAACCGCAUGGUUCAAUAGUGAAAGACGGUUUUGCUGUCACUUAUAGAUGGAUCCGCGCCGCAUUAGCUAGUUGGUAAGGUAACGGCUUACCAAGGCAACGAUGCGUAGCCGACCUGAGAGGGUGGUCGGCCACACUGGAACUGAGACACGGUCCGGACUCCUACGGGAGGCAGCAGUAGGGAAUCGGCCGCAAUGGCGGAAAGCCUGACGGAGCAACGCCGCGUGAGGGAUGAAGGUCUUCGGAUCGUAAAACUCUGUUAUUAGGGAAGAACAAAUGUGUAAGUAACUAUGCACGUCUUGACGGUACCUAAUCAGAAAGCCACGGCUAACUACG